This 416-nucleotide ribosomal RNA is filed under the name uncultured Rhodocyclaceae bacterium. RNAcentral's name for it is "bacterial SSU rRNA". It matches the Rfam family "Bacterial small subunit ribosomal RNA", at positions 966 to 1382 of the family's 1533-position model. The record is from RNAcentral. Lineage: Bacteria; Pseudomonadati; Pseudomonadota; Betaproteobacteria; Rhodocyclales; Rhodocyclaceae.
CCUUACCGUACCCUUGACAUGUCCGGAAUCCCGAAGAGAUUUGGGAGUGCUCGCAAGAGAGCCGGAACACAGGUGCUGCAUGGCUGUCGUCAGCUCGUGUCGUGAGAUGUUGGGUUAAGUCCCGCAACGAGCGCAACCCUUGUCAUUAGUUGCCAUCAUUUGGUUGGGCACUCUAAUGAGGACUGCCGGUGACAAACCGGAGGAAGGUGGGGAUGACGUCAAGUCCUCAUGGCCCUUAUGGGUAGGGCUUCACACGUCAUACAAUGGUCGGUACAGAGGGUUGCCAACCCGCGAGGGGGAGCUAAUCCCACAAAGCCGAUCGUAGUCCGGAUCGCAGUCUGCAACUCGACUGCGUGAAGUCGGAAUCGCUAGUAAUCGUGGAUCAGCAUGUCACGGUGAAUACGUUCCCGGGUCUU